CGCUAGCGGCAGGCCUAACACAUGCAAGCCGGACGGUAAGUCUCAGCUUGCUGAGUACACGAGUGGCGCACGGGUGAGUAACACGUAUGCAACCUACCUUCAACUGGAGAAUAGCCCCGAGAAAUUGGGAUUAAUACUCCAUAAAUUGCAAAAUUCGCAUGUUUUUUGCAUUAAAGCUUCGGCGGUUGGAGAUGGGCAUGCGCGACAUUAGUUUGUUGGUGAGGUAACGGCUCACCAAGACAGCGAUGUCUAGGGGCUCUGAGAGGACUAUCCCCCACACUGGUACUGAGACACGGACCAGACUCCUACGGGAGGCAGCAGUGAGGAAUAUUGGGCAAUGGGUGCAAGCCUGACCCAGCCAUGCCGCGUGCAGGAUUGACGGCCCUAUGGGUUGUAAACUGCUUUUCUAUGGGAAGAAACCUUAUUACGUGUAAUGAGUUGACGGUACCAUAGGAAUAAGCAUCGGCUAACUCCGUGCCAGCAGCCGCGGUAAUACGGAGGAUGCAAGCGUUAUCCGGAUUUAUUGGGUUUAAAGGGUGCGUAGGCGGAAUGAUAAGUCAGUGGUGAAAUCCUACAGCUUAACUGUAGAACUGCCAUUGAUACUGUUAUUCUUGAGUACAGUUGAAGUGGAUGGAAUGUGUCAUGUAGCGGUGAAAUGCAUAGAUAUGACACAGAACACCGAUAGCGAAGGCAGUUCACUAAACUGUAACUGACGCUGAGGCACGAAAGCGUGGGGAGCAAACAGGAUUAGAUACCCUGGUAGUCCACGCCGUAAACGAUGAUAACUCGAUGUGUGCGAUAUACAGUACGCGUCCGAGCGAAAGUGUUAAGUUAUCCACCUGGGAAGUACGUCCGCAAGGAUGAAACUCAAAGGAAUUGACGGGGGCCCGCACAAGCGGAGGAGCAUGUGGUUUAAUUCGAUGAUACGCGAGGAACCUUACCUGGGCUUAAAUGCAGAACGACGUACUGGGAAACCAGUAUUUCUUCGGACGGACUGCAAGGUGCUGCAUGGUUGUCGUCAGCUCGUGCCGUGAGGUGUCGGGUUAAGUCCCAUAACGAGCGCAACCCCUAUUCUUAGUUGCCAGCAUGUAAUGAUGGGGACUCUAAGGAAACUGCCUACGCAAGUAGUGAGGAAGGUGGGGAUGACGUCAAAUCAGCACGGCCCUUAUGUCCAGGGCUACACACGUGCUACAAUGGCUGGUACAGAGGGUGGCUACCUGGUGACAGGAUGCUAAUCUCUAAAACCAGUCUCAGUUCGGAUUGAAGUCUGCAACUCGACUUCAUGAAGUUGGAUUCGCUAGUAAUCGCGUAUCAGCAAUGACGCGGUGAAUACGUUCCCGGGCAUUGUACACACCGCCCGUCAAGCCAUGGGAGUUGGGAGUACCUGAAGUCGAUAACCGCAAGGAG
Molecule: ribosomal RNA, 1407 nt
Filed under: uncultured organism
Description: 16S ribosomal RNA
Rfam family: Bacterial small subunit ribosomal RNA
Source: RNAcentral